CACGUAGGGUGCGAGCGUUGUCCGGAAUUAUUGGGCGUAAAGAGCUCGUAGGCGGUGUGUCGCGUCGGCCGUGAAAACCUGCAGCUUAACUGUGGGCUUGCGGUCGAUACGGGCAUCACUGGAGUUCGGCAGGGGAGACUGGAAUUCCUGGUGUAGCGGUGAAAUGCGCAGAUAUCAGGAGGAACACCGGUGGCGAAGGCGGAUCUCUGGGCCAUUACUGACGCUGAGGAGCGAAAGCGUGGGGGAGCGAACAGG
RNAcentral lists this ribosomal RNA (255 nucleotides) under uncultured bacterium. RNAcentral's name for it is "partial 16S ribosomal RNA". It matches the Rfam family "Bacterial small subunit ribosomal RNA", at positions 524 to 776 of the family's 1533-position model. The record is from RNAcentral.